RNAcentral lists this transfer RNA (65 nucleotides) under Dipodomys ordii (Ord's kangaroo rat). It matches the Rfam family "tRNA". Rfam says of the family: Transfer RNA (tRNA) molecules are approximately 80 nucleotides in length. Their secondary structure includes four short double-helical elements and three loops (D, anti-codon, and T loops). Further hydrogen bonds mediate the characteristic L-shaped molecular structure. tRNAs have two regions of fundamental functional importance: the anti-codon, which is responsible for specific mRNA codon recognition, and the 3' end, to which the tRNAs corresponding amino acid is attached (by aminoacyl-tRNA synthetases). tRNAs cope with the degeneracy of the genetic code in two manners: having more than one tRNA (with a specific anti-codon) for a particular amino acid; and 'wobble' base-pairing, i.e. permitting non-standard base-pairing at the 3rd anti-codon position. The record is from Rfam by way of RNAcentral. Lineage: Eukaryota; Metazoa; Chordata; Mammalia; Rodentia; Heteromyidae.
GGUGGCUCAAUGGUAGAGUGCUUGCCUUGCAUGCAUGAAGUCCUGGGUUCGAUUCCUCAGCACCA